Molecule: ribosomal RNA, 638 nt
Filed under: uncultured bacterium
Lineage: Bacteria
Description: bacterial SSU rRNA
Rfam family: Bacterial small subunit ribosomal RNA
Source: RNAcentral
AUGGAUGCUAGCCGUAUUCGGUAUCGACCCCGGAUGUGGCGAAGCUAACGCGUUAAGCAUCCCGCCUGUGGAGUACGGUCGCAAGACUAAAACAUAAAGGAAUUGACGGGGACCCGCACAAGCGGUGGAGCGUGUUGUUUAAUUCGAUGGUAAGCGAAGAACCUUACCCAGGCUUGACAUCCUUGUAAUCACUUCGAAAGAAGAGAGUGCCUUCGGGAUCAAGUGACAGGUGAUGCAUGGCCGUCGUCAGCUCGUGUCGUGAGAUGUUUGGUUAAGUCCAUCAACGAGCGCAACCCUUAUAGUUAGUUGAAUUUUUCUAGCUAGACUGCCCUGGUAACAGGGAGGAAGGAGGGGAUGAUGUCAGGUCAGUAUCUCCCUUACGUCUGGGGCUACAAACACGCUACAAUGGCCAGUACAAAGGGCAGCCAAGUCGCGAGACGGAGCAAAUCCCAUCAAAGCUGGUCUCAGUUCGGAUAGCAGGCUGAAACUCGCCUGCUUGAAGUCGGAAUCGCUAGUAACGGUAGGUCAGCACACUACCGUGAAUACGUUCCCGGGUCUUGUACACACCGCCCGUCAAACCAUGAAAGUCGCCAAUAUCUGACGUCUGUGCUUUGCCACGGCCUAAGGUAGGGGAGAUG